CGGUAACAGCUCAAAUUUGAAAGCUAGCUCUUUUAGGGUUCGCAUUGUAAUUUGUAGAAGAUGCUUCGGGUGUGGCUCCGGUCUAAGUUCCUUGGAACAGGAAGCCAAAGAGGGUGAGAGUCCCGU
This 126-nucleotide ribosomal RNA is filed under the name Cadophora sp. Its description in RNAcentral is "partial large subunit ribosomal RNA". It matches the Rfam family "Eukaryotic large subunit ribosomal RNA", at positions 99 to 224 of the family's 3401-position model. Lineage: Eukaryota; Fungi; Ascomycota; Leotiomycetes; Helotiales; Ploettnerulaceae. The record is from RNAcentral.